RNA transcript from Lampris incognitus (smalleye Pacific opah), 1256 nucleotides. It is a transcript of the gene named UBX domain-containing protein 4-like, with no coding region annotated. The transcript is spliced from 8 exons. NCBI's taxonomy places the organism in Eukaryota, Metazoa, Chordata, Actinopteri, Lampriformes, Lampridae. The record is from RefSeq and is a predicted model, not a curated record.
CAAACUGACUGGGUUUGAAGGUGUGAUGCAGCUGGUCGGCAGCAAUACGAAACCAGAGACAGACAACACAAUCUAGAAAGAUGGUUUGGUUUGAGAGCUCGAUUCCCGCUGCCAUCGCCUCCGCUCAGCAACAGAACUUCAUCUUUGUCGUUGUCAUUACAGGCGAAGAUGGGCAGUCUGCACAGCUGAUGUCCAGCUGGGAGGACGAAAAAGUCUCUGAAGCAGCACAGACUUGUUGUGUGGCGAUCAAAGUGGAUGCCAAGAGCGAGACAUGUGUUCAGUUCACCCAGAUCUACCCAGUAGUGUACAUUCCAUCCAGUUUCUUCAUUGGAGAGAAUGGAAUUCCCCUUGAGGUCAUUGCCGGAAGCGUGUCUGCUGACGAACUCACGAAAAGAAUCAGUAAAGUCAAACAGAUGCAAGGUCAGCAGGUUUGUGGUGGGAUCGUAGCAUCAACAGAACCAGAAGCUCUAGCAACCACAGAAGCUGUCCCAGUACCAGGCACAUCAAAAGAAUCCCUCUCCAGACCAGCAGAUGAAAGUGGCCUUUUGGGGGCUGAGGGCCCUGGGGAGGACAGAAGUGCAUCAUCAGAUGACACCUCUCACAGUUCUCAGUGUGAUGGAACCCUGAAUGCCAAUGUAGACAGGUGCCUGUUCGGGGGGAGGGGGAACUGGGGAGAAUAGCGCGAUCCUCCCACACACUACGUCCCCCUGGCGAAACUCCUCACUGUCAGGUGAAAAGAAGCAGCUGGCGAGUCCACAUGUAUUGGAGGAGGCAUGUGGUAGUCUGCAGCCCUCCCCGGAUCGGCAGAGGGGUUGGAGCAGCGACUGAGACGGCUCGGAAGAGUGGGGUAAUUGGCCAGGAGCAGUGGGCAGCUGCAGCAUCUGGGGACCAACUCCAGUCCUUUUUACCAUUGCCUUUGUCACCUCCGGAGGAAACCCAUAUAGACAGGGGGAGAACGUGCAAACUCCACACGGAAAGGACUUGGGACGGCCUGGGGUUCGAACCUAGGACCUUCUUGCUGUGAGGAAACAUUGCUAACCAAUGGGCCACCGUGCAGCACAAUAUAAUAUCGAUAUUGUGAUUCGAGCAAGAUAUUGUCUGGGGUUUUGGUUUUCAUAAUACUGAGAUGUACCUUAAAUGUUGUCCUUCCCUGGUCUUAAAGGCUGCAUUACAGUAAAAUGAUACAAUUUUCUGAACUUAUAGGACGGUUUUAGCAGAGUGAAAUAAACAAUGAAUGUCUCUACCUGCUUGGUCAU